RNAcentral lists this ribosomal RNA (2218 nucleotides) under Clostridia bacterium UC5.1-1E3. Its description in RNAcentral is "bacterial LSU rRNA". It matches the Rfam family "Bacterial large subunit ribosomal RNA", at positions 592 to 2820 of the family's 2925-position model. The record is from RNAcentral. Lineage: Bacteria; Bacillati; Bacillota; Clostridia.
GGUGAUGGCGUGCCUUUUGUAGAAUGAGCCGGCGAGUUAUGAUAUGCAGCGAGGUUAAGCAGGAGAUGCGGAGCCGAAGCGAAAGCGAGUCUGAAUAGGGCGAGAGUUGUAUGUCAUAGACCCGAAACCGAGUGAUCUAGCCAUGAUCAGGUUGAAGUUGGGGUAAAACCCGAUGGAGGACCGAACCGACCCCCGUUGAAACGUUGGCGGAUGAAUUGUGGCUAGGGGUGAAAUUCCAAACGAACUCGGAGAUAGCUGGUUCUCCCCGAAAUAGCUUUAGGGCUAGCGUCAGAGUGAAAGUUAUGUGAAGGUAGAGCACUGAAUAUGUGAUGGCCUCAUCCCGAGGUACUGAAUAUAAUCAAACUCCGAAUGUCACAGGAACAUAUCUGGCAGUCAGACUGCGGGUGAUAAGGUCCGUAGUCAAAAGGGAAACAGCCCAGACCAUCAGCUAAGGUCCCAAAAUAUAUGCUAAGUGGAAAAGGAUGUGGAGAUGUCCAGACAACCAGGAGGUUGGCUCAGAAGCAGCCACCCUUUAAAGAGUGCGUAACAGCUCACUGGUCGAAUGACUCUGCGCCGAAAAUUUACCGGGGCUAAGCAUAAUACCGAAGCUAUGGAUUUAUACGACAAGUAUAAGUGGUAGGGGAGCGUUCCUGUCAGCGAGGAAGCAUGACCGCAAGGACAUGUGGAGCGGCAGGAAGAGAGAAUGCCGGUGUGAGUAGCGGAACGUGGGUGAGAAUCCCACGCACCGAAUACCCAAGGUUUCCAGAGGAAGGUUCGUCCGCUCUGGGUAAGUCGGGACCUAAGGCGAGGCCGAAAGGCGUAGUCGAUGGACAACGGGUGGAGAUUCCCGUACCUGAUGAAGAGGCAAUGGAGUGACGGAGCAGGCUAGGCGAUCCAGCUGCUGGAAUAGCUGGUGCAAGCGAGGUAGGGGACAUCCAGGCAAAUCCGGAUGUUGAAACCCGAAGGCGUGACGCGUAUGGAACAUUACGAUAAGUACAGAAGUCGCCGAAGCAAGCUUCCAAGAAAAGCUUCUAGCAAUCAACUCUUUGUCAGCCCGUACCGAAAAUGGACACACAUGGGUGAGGAGAGAAUCCUAAGGUGAGCGAGAGAACUAUAGCUAAGGAACUCUGCAAAAUGACUCCGUAACUUCGGGAGAAGGAGUGCUCAUUGAGAGAUGAGCCGCAGUAAAACGGCCCAAGCGACUGUUUACCAAAAACACAGCUCUCUGCCAAGACGCAAGUCGAAGUAUAGGGGGUGACGCCUGCCCGGUGCUGGAAGGUUAAGAGGAGUGGUCAGCGCAAGCGAAGCCAUGAAUUGAAGCCCCAGUAAACGGCGGCCGUAACUAUAACGGUCCUAAGGUAGCGAAAUUCCUUGUCAGGUAAGUUCUGACCCGCACGAAAGGCGUAACGAUUUGGGCGCUGUCUCAGCUGUAGACUCGGUGAAGUCUUAGUACCUGUGAAGAUGCAGGUUACCCGCGACUAGACGGAAAGACCCCAUGGAGCUUUACUGUAGCUUGAUAUUGGAUUUUGAUGCAUGAUGUACAGGAUAGGUAGGAGACGAAGAGACGGAUACGCCAGUAUUCGAGGAGUCGCCGUUGGGAUACUACCCUUCAUGUAUUGAAGUUCUAACCGGACGCCAUAAGCUGGCGACGGGACAGUGUCAGGUGGGCAGUUUGACUGGGGCGGUCGCCUCCCAAAGAGUAACGGAGGCGCCCAAAGAUACCCUCAGCAUGGUUGGAAAUCAUGCGUAGAGUGCAAAGGCAAAGGUGUUUGACUGCGAGACCAACAAGUCGAGCAGGGACGAAGUCGGGCUUAGUGAUCCGGCGGUGCCGAAUGGAAGGGCCGUCGCUCAACGGAUAAAAGCUACCCUGGGGAUAACAGGCUGAUCUCCCCCAAGAGUUCACAUCGACGGGAGGUUUGGCACCUCGAUGUCGGCUCAUCGCAUCCUGGAGCUGAAGUCGGUUCCAAGGGUUGGGCUGUUCGCCCAUUAAAGCGGUACGCGAGCUGGGUUCAGAACGUCGUGAGACAGUUCGGUCCCUAUCUGUCGUGGGCGUAGGAAGUUUGAGGAGAGCUGCCCUCAGUACGAGAGGACCGGGGUGGACAGACCAAUGGUGCACCAGUUGUCACGCCAGUGGCACAGCUGGUAGCUAAGUCUGGAAGGGAUAAACGCUGAAGGCAUCUAAGUGUGAAGCCCCCUCCAAGAUGAGACUUCCCAUUCU